CUGUAAAAUGCUAAUAGUAGUCCAUUUAAUAUCAUAAUUCAUCUUUUUAAUAUCAUAAUCCAUUUAAUAUCAUAAUUCAAAAUUUCUGAGUGGAAACACAUUAAGUAAAAUAAAAAUGAGUGUCUAAAAUUUUAGCUCUGAUUUGU
Caenorhabditis elegans is the source of this 146-nucleotide non-coding RNA. The record is from Ensembl. Lineage: Eukaryota; Metazoa; Nematoda; Chromadorea; Rhabditida; Rhabditidae.